RNAcentral lists this transfer RNA (74 nucleotides) under uncultured bacterium. RNAcentral's name for it is "tRNA-Asp". It matches the Rfam family "tRNA". Rfam says of the family: Transfer RNA (tRNA) molecules are approximately 80 nucleotides in length. Their secondary structure includes four short double-helical elements and three loops (D, anti-codon, and T loops). The record is from RNAcentral.
GGAUCCAUCAUUUAGUGGAAGGAUGUCCGGCUGUCGACCGGAGAGCACGGGUUCGAUUCCCGUUGGAUCCGCCA